RNAcentral lists this long non-coding RNA (422 nucleotides) under Equus asinus (donkey). Its description in RNAcentral is "lncRNA (ENSEASG00005029714.1)". The record is from RNAcentral. Lineage: Eukaryota; Metazoa; Chordata; Mammalia; Perissodactyla; Equidae.
AGAGAUAAACCUUCGGCCCAAUGCCUGGAUACCAGGAGCCCUGAGGCAAGUCCUGUUUACAUCCAUCACUGACAGCAGGGGGUAUUCAUGACUGAACCCUGUCACAAGGAACGAUCAGCGGGCCUUGGGGACAAGAUGUAGCAGAAGAAAAAAGAAGAACCUGUAACCAAAGCCUUUGACUUCAUUUGGAAAAUGUGGUCUUAAAACAUGGACCUGUUAACCUGAAAAUACCCGGUUGCGAUCUGAAUGUGUGUGUCAGCUCCUGUCUCCUCCCUGGGCCCAGGCGAGCCCAGCGCAGACUGAGGCUGAGAUGACCAUCUUCUUGCUGUGUCCCCACGUGGUCUUUCCUCUGUGCACACGUGCUCCUGUUGUACCUUCUUAUGAGGACAUCUGCCCUACCGGAUUAGGGUCCCACUCUAAGG